GAGGAAAAGAAACCAACAGGGAUUGCCUUAGUAGCGGCGAGUGAAGCGGCAAAAGCUCAAAUUUGAAAUCUGGCUCUUUCAGAGUCCGAGUUGUAAUUUGAAGAAGGUAUCUUUGGGUCUGGCUCUUGUCUAUGUUUCUUGGAACAGAACGUCACAGAGGGUGAGAAUCCCGUGCGAUGAGAUGAUCCAGGCCUAUGUAAAGUUCCUUCGAAGAGUCGAGUUGUUUGGGAAUGCAGCUCUAAGUGGGUGGUAAAUUCCAUCUAAAGCUAAAUAUUGGCGAGAGACCGAUAGCGAACAAGUACAGUGAUGGAAAGAUGAAAAGAACUUUGAAAAGAGAGUGAAAAAGUACGUGAAAUUGUUGAAAGGGAAGGGCUUGAGAUCAGACUUGGUAUUUUGUAUGUUACUUCUUCGGGGGUGGCCUCUACAGUUUAUCGGGCCAGCAUCAGUUUGGGCGGUAGGAGAAUUGCGUUGGAAUGUGGCACGGCUUCGGUUGUGUGUUAUAGCCUUCGUCGAUACUGCCAGCCUAGACUGAGGACUGCGGUUUAUACCUAGGAUGUUGGCAUAAUGAUCUUAAGUCGCCCGU
This 583-nucleotide ribosomal RNA is filed under the name Candida tropicalis. RNAcentral's name for it is "eukaryotic LSU rRNA". It matches the Rfam family "Eukaryotic large subunit ribosomal RNA", at positions 53 to 652 of the family's 3401-position model. The record is from RNAcentral. Lineage: Eukaryota; Fungi; Ascomycota; Pichiomycetes; Serinales; Debaryomycetaceae.